GAGGAGGUAGCCAACACUGUUUUUUAUGGUUUUUUUUUUUAUUGUGGCAGCCCCCAAAAUAUUGGGACAUAUAAAAAAGACAACUCUGUUCCGCAGAGUAGCUGUUGACAUUAUAGUUGCGCAGGCACUUUGUUGACUCUAGAGAACCUCGGGCCAAUCGCACAUCCCUGUGAUGGCGACUUUGCAUUCGGAUGUCAUCCAUAUCAACUUUCAAUGCCAGUUUCUACACCUACCAUGGUGACCACGGGUAACGGGGAAUCAGGGUUCCAUUCCGUACAGGGACCCUGAGAAAUGGCUACCACAUGCAAGGAAGGCAGCAGGCGCGCAAAUGACCCACUCUCAACGCGGGAAGGUAGUGAC
This 360-nucleotide ribosomal RNA is filed under the name Pelobates cultripes (western spadefoot toad). Its description in RNAcentral is "SSU_rRNA_microsporidia". It matches the Rfam family "Eukaryotic small subunit ribosomal RNA", at positions 106 to 471 of the family's 1831-position model. The record is from RNAcentral. Lineage: Eukaryota; Metazoa; Chordata; Amphibia; Anura; Pelobatidae.